GGGGGAGCGAAUCCCAAAAAGCCGCUCUCAGUUCGGAUUGCAGGCUGCAACUCGCCUGCAUGAAGCCGGAAUCGCUAGUAAUCGCGGAUCAGCAUGCCGCGGUGAAUACGUUCCCGGGCCUUGUACACACCGCCCGUCACACCACGAGAGCUUGCAACACCCGAAGUCGGUGAGGUAACCCGUAAGGGAGCCAGCCGCCGAAGGUGGGGCAAGUGAUUGGGGUGAAGUCGUAACAAGGUAGCCGUACCGGAAGGUGCGGCUGGAUCACCUCCUUUCUAAGGA
RNAcentral lists this ribosomal RNA (282 nucleotides) under Geobacillus sp. LYN3. RNAcentral describes it as "partial 16S ribosomal RNA". It matches the Rfam family "Bacterial small subunit ribosomal RNA", at positions 1261 to 1533 of the family's 1533-position model. The record is from RNAcentral. Lineage: Bacteria; Bacillati; Bacillota; Bacilli; Caryophanales; Anoxybacillaceae.